GACGAACGCUGGCGGCGUGCCUAAUACAUGCAAGUAGAACGCACAGUUUAUACCUUAGCUUGCUACACCAUAGACUGUGAGUUGCGAACGGGUGAGUAACGCGUAGGUAACCUGCCUGGUAGCGGGGGAUAACUAUUGGAAACGAUAGCUAAUACCGCAUAAUAUUGAUUAUUGCAUGAUAAUUGAUUGAAAGAUGCUAUUGCAUCACUACCAGAUGGACCUGCGUUGUAUUAGCUAGUAGGUGAGGUAACGGCUCACCUAGGCGACGAUACAUAGCCGACCGGAGAGGGUGAGCGGCCACACUGGGACUGAGACACGGCCCAGACUCCUACGGGAGGCAGCAGUAGGGAAUCGUCGGCAAUGGACGAAAGUCUGACCGAGCAACGCCGCGUGAGUGAAGAAGGUUGUCGGAUCGUAAAGCUCUGUUGUAAGAGAAGAACGGGUGUGAGAGUGGAAAGUUCACACUGUGACGGUAUCUUACCAGAAAGGGACGGCUAACUACGUG
This 505-nucleotide ribosomal RNA is filed under the name uncultured bacterium. RNAcentral's name for it is "partial 16S ribosomal RNA". It matches the Rfam family "Bacterial small subunit ribosomal RNA", at positions 28 to 507 of the family's 1533-position model. The record is from RNAcentral.